UCUUUGAAUGGUGAUUAUGGGCAGUUAUCAAUUUUCAAUGAUCAUAUUGGUUAGUUCAAUUAUACAUUUCCCUACCCAAAAAAUAAAACACACUAGAGUUUUUAUUUUCCAAACUCCUUUCUUCUUCCUCUUCAAUAUUUUUUUUUCUUCUAUUAUUUAUCCGUCGCAUCGCGCGCCUUACUACACUAGCAGUGAAUUAAUAUCAAAUAAAAGAGCUCA
Molecule: long non-coding RNA, 219 nt
Filed under: Ananas comosus (pineapple)
Lineage: Eukaryota; Viridiplantae; Streptophyta; Magnoliopsida; Poales; Bromeliaceae
Description: long non-coding RNA (ACOM_LNC026033)
Source: RNAcentral